This 229-nucleotide ribosomal RNA is filed under the name uncultured bacterium. Its description in RNAcentral is "partial 16S ribosomal RNA". It matches the Rfam family "Bacterial small subunit ribosomal RNA", at positions 66 to 305 of the family's 1533-position model. The record is from RNAcentral.
ACGAGACCUUGACUGAGUUUACUUAGUUAAGUGAAAGUGGCGGACGAGCGAGUAACACGUAAGAACCUGCCCCGUACUCAGGGAUAACUGGCCGAAAGGUCAGCUAAUACCGGAUGGUCCCGAAAGGGUAAAGAUUUAUCGGUACGGGAGGGGCUUGCGGCCUAUCAGUUUGUUGGUGAGGUAAAGGCUCACCAAGACGAUGACGGGUAGCUGAUGUGAGAGCAUGAUC